GUCUGCCCGCUGGUCUUGGGAGUGGCUUCCGUGUUCGGGUUGAUUUGCACGCCUCGGAGAGCACAGCGAGGCACAUUUGGGAAUGAUGGAACACUGCUCUGACUUCUGUCUUCUUUGUUACUGAGCACAGCAGAACCAGCCACUGGGCAGGCUCUCUGGGAACACGUCACAGGCAGCACAAUACCGUAGUAUUCUGUGCAAAGUGUCAGGAUUGCUGAACGGGGGCUGCCGCAUGACAUUGAUAGAAACAAGACGGUAUGGAUUGACAUUUGGCAACAAAAGACCUACAGAGUGAGGCUGUUUUGUUUGCCAACCUGCAGCUAUGUGACUCACGCACAAAAUCAUAAAUGUAGCAGCUGAGGGUUAAUGGAAUAAUAUUUUCAUGAGUCAUGCCUCUUUUGAGAGGCAGUCAUAAAGAUGACACAUGGAAUAUUCCCAGAAGCAGCACUGGUCAUCAACCAGCUAACUGGAAUACAGUGGUGCCCUAAUGUCUUUAGGCAUUAGUAUGUUUUGUGAAUGAGACAUUUCAGUGAGUGAAAUGAGACUGAGGUCAUACAUUUUAGUCCAUCUGUAUGUGA
Long non-coding RNA from Corythoichthys intestinalis (scribbled pipefish), 578 nucleotides. RefSeq lists it as uncharacterized. Lineage: Eukaryota; Metazoa; Chordata; Actinopteri; Syngnathiformes; Syngnathidae. The record is from RefSeq and is a predicted model, not a curated record. The transcript has 3 exons.